UUCCGGUUGACCCUGCCGCAGGAAUUGCUAUUGGGAUUCGAUUAAGCCAUGCGAGUCGAGAGGGUUCGGCCCUCGGCAGACGGCUCAGUAACACGCGGAUAAUCUGCCCUUGGGUGGAGGAUAACCUCGGGAAACUGAGAAUAAUACUCCAUAGAUCUAGGAUGCUGGAAUGCACUUAGAUUGAAAGUUCCGACGCCUAAGGAUGAGUCUGCGGACUAUCAGGUAGUAGUCAGGGUAAAGGCCUGACUAGCCUACGACGGAUACGGGUUGUGAGAGCAAUAACCCGGAGACGAUAUCUGAGACACGAUAUCGGGCCCUACGGGGCGCAGCAGGCGCGAAACCUUCACAAUGUGCGAAAGCACGAUGAGGGGAUCCCAAGUGCUUGCUCGUAAGAGUAAGCUGUUUUUAUGUCUAAAAAGCAUAGAGAGUAAGGGCUGGGUAAGACGGGUGCCAGCCGCCGCGGUAAUACCUGCAGCUCAAGUUGUGACCACUAUUAUUGGGCCUAAAACGUUCGUAGCCGGUUUGGUAAAUGCCUGGGUAAAUCGUGUAGCUUAACUAUACGAAUUCCGGGUAGACUGCCAAACUUGAGACCGGGAGAAGCUAGAGGUACUCCUGGGGUAGAGGUGAAAUUCUGUAAUCCUGGGGGGACCACCAGUGGCGAAGGCGUCUAGCUAGAACGGGUUUGACGGUGAGGAACGAAGCCCUGGGGCGCAAACCGGAUUAGAUACCCGGGUAGUCCAGGGUGUAAACGCUGCUUGCUUGAUGUUAGUUGGGCUCCGAGCCCAAUUAGUGUCGGAGAGAAGUUGUUAAGCAAGCUGCCUGGGAAGUACGAUCGCAAGAUUGAAACUUAAAGGAAUUGGCGGGGGAGCACAGCAACGGGUGGAGCGUGCGGUUUAAUUGGAAUCACGCCGG
This 912-nucleotide ribosomal RNA is filed under the name uncultured archaeon. Its description in RNAcentral is "bacterial SSU rRNA". It matches the Rfam family "Archaeal small subunit ribosomal RNA", at positions 1 to 921 of the family's 1478-position model. The record is from RNAcentral.